Molecule: ribosomal RNA, 501 nt
Filed under: uncultured bacterium
Lineage: Bacteria
Description: partial 16S ribosomal RNA
Rfam family: Bacterial small subunit ribosomal RNA
Source: RNAcentral
AUUGAACGCUGGCGGCAGGCUUAACACAUGCAAGUCGAGCGGAGAGAGGUAGCUUGCUACUGAUCUUAGCGGCGGACGGGUGAGUAAUGCUUAGGAAUCUGCCUAUAAGUGGGGGACAACAUUUCGAAAGGAAUGCUAAUACCGCAUACGUCCUACGGGAGACAGCAGGGGAUCUUCGGACCUUGCGCUAAUAGAUGAGCCUAAGUCGGAUUAGCUAGUUGGUGGGGUAAAGGCCUACCAAGGCGACGAGCUGUAGCGGGUCUGAGAGGAUGAUCCGCCACACUGGGACUGAGACACGGCCCAGACUCCUACGGGAGGCAGCAGUGGGGAAUAUUGGACAAUGGGCGCAAGCCCGAUCCAGCCAUGCCGCGUGUGGGAAGAAGGCCUUAUGGUUGUAAAGCACUUUAAGCGAGGAGGAGGCUACUUUAGUUAAUACCUAGAGAUAGUGGACGUUACUCGCAGAAUAAGCACCGGCUAACUCUGUGCCAGCAGCCGCAGUAA